AGAACGAACGCUGGCGGCAGGCCUCAAACAUGCAAGUCUAGGGGGUGUAGCAAUACAUCACCGGCGGACGGGUGCGUAACGCGUGGGAAUAUACCUUUUGGUUCGGAACAACUGAGGGAAACUUCAGCUAAUACCGAAUGUGCCCUAACGGGGAAAGAUUUAUCGCCAAAGGAUUAGCCCGCGUAGGAUUAGCUAGUUGGUGAGGUAAUGGCUCACCAAGGCUCCGAUCCUUAGCUGUUCUGAGAGGAAGAUCAGCCACACUGGGACUGAGACACGGCCCAGACUCCUACGGGAGGCAGCAGUUGGGAAUCUUGGACAAUGGGGGAAACCCUGAUCCAGCCAUGCCGCGUGAGUGAUGAAGGCCUUCGGGUUGUAAAACUCUUUCGACGGGGACGAGUAAUGACGGUACCCGUAGAAGAAGCUCCGGCUAACUUCGUGCCAGCAGCCGC
This 449-nucleotide ribosomal RNA is filed under the name uncultured bacterium. RNAcentral describes it as "SSU rRNA". It matches the Rfam family "Bacterial small subunit ribosomal RNA", at positions 26 to 518 of the family's 1533-position model. The record is from RNAcentral.